CUUACAGGUGUCAGGAUGUUGGGCUGGGUCCAAAGGGUGCUGCCUCAGCCUCCGGGGACCCCCCAGAAGACUGAAGAGGGAGCAGGACCACAGCCAGAAACAGAGUCAAAGCCUGAGGCAAAUCCACAACCCGAGCCAGAGGUUCAGCCGGAACCAGAGCCGGAACCGGAACCAGCACCUGAAGAGGCUGCACCAGAGGUCCAGACCCUGCCACCAGAGGAACCAGUGGAAGGAGAGGAUGUGGCUGAGGCUGGCCCUAGCCUUCAAGAGACCCAGGAAGCUGACCCUCCUCAGCCCACCUCCCAGGCCCAGGUUGCUGUUGUCAAGGUGAACAGGCCCAGCUCCUGGAUGUUGAGUUGGUUCUGGAAGGGCAUGGAGAAGGUCGUGCCACAGCCUGUC
This 399-nucleotide long non-coding RNA is filed under the name Rattus norvegicus (Norway rat). RNAcentral's name for it is "long non-coding RNA NONRATT014020". Lineage: Eukaryota; Metazoa; Chordata; Mammalia; Rodentia; Muridae. The record is from RNAcentral.